GAUGAACGCUGGCGGCGUGCCUAACACAUGCAAGUCGAGCGGAGAGAGACGAGUAUUCGUACAAAUCUCUCUUAGCGGCGGACGGGUGAGUAACACGUGAGUAACCUGCCUUCUUCUGGGGAAUAACACAGAGAAAUUUGUGCUAAUACCGCAUAAAGUCACGACUGGGCAUCCAGAUGUGACCAAAGGAGCAAUCCGGAGGAAGAUGGACUCGCGUCCGAUUAGGUAGUUGGUGAGGUAACGGCCCACCAAGCCUACGAUCGGUAGCCGAACUGAGAGGUUGAUCGGCCACAUUGGGACUGAGACACGGCCCAGACUCCUACGGGAGGCAGCAGUGGGGAAUAUUGGGCAAUGGGGGAAACCCUGACCCAGCAACGCCGCGUGAAGGACGAAGGCCUUCGGGUUGUAAACUUCUUUGAUCAGGGACGAAACAAAUGACGGUACCUGAGGAACAAGCCACGGCUAACUACGUGCCAGCAGCCGCGGUAAAACGUAGACGUG
Molecule: ribosomal RNA, 501 nt
Filed under: uncultured bacterium
Lineage: Bacteria
Description: bacterial SSU rRNA
Rfam family: Bacterial small subunit ribosomal RNA
Source: RNAcentral